ACUCCUACGGGAGGCAGCAGUGGGGAAUCUUGGACAAUGGGGGCGAACCCUCGAUCCAGCCAUGCCGCGUGAGUGAUGAAGGCCUUAGGGUCGUAAAGCUCUUUCGCCAGGGAUGAUAAUGACAGUACCUGGUAAAGAAACCCCGGCCUAACUCCGUGCCAGCAGCCGCGGUAAUACGGAGGGGUUAGCGUUGUUCGGAAUUACUGGGGCGUAAAGCGCGCGUAGGCGGACCAGAAAGUUGGGGGUGAAAUCCCGGGGCUCAACCCCGGAACUGCCUCCAAAACUCCUGGUCUUGAGUUCGGGGAGAGGUGAGUGGAAUUCCGAGUGUAGAGGUGAAAUUCGUAGAUAUUCGGAGGAACACCAGUGGCGAAGGCGGCUCACUGGCUCGAUACUGACGCUGAGGUGCG
This 407-nucleotide ribosomal RNA is filed under the name uncultured bacterium. RNAcentral describes it as "bacterial SSU rRNA". It matches the Rfam family "Bacterial small subunit ribosomal RNA", at positions 335 to 755 of the family's 1533-position model. The record is from RNAcentral.